This is a long non-coding RNA of Dreissena polymorpha, 1716 nucleotides long. RefSeq lists it as uncharacterized. The record is from RefSeq and is a predicted model, not a curated record. The transcript is spliced from 5 exons. NCBI's taxonomy places the organism in Eukaryota, Metazoa, Mollusca, Bivalvia, Myida, Dreissenidae.
GGAAUUGUCCGAGGAGUCCCGAUUGGUAGCGCAACCUGUCUCGUAGUGUUCAUUUUCAAUGGCUAUUAAACGCUGUAAAUCAAAAUGACAUCUUGUACUAAUGGAUGUCUUCAAUCGAAGAAGGUUCGGAAAUGAUAUUUCCACAUGCUUAAAAUAGGUUGGGAAGUUAUUUUUCAAGACCCCGAGGAAGUGUGAGGUGUAUGGAAUCAGCUGUGAAGGAUCUGGAAAGCAGGUGUUUUACCUCGCAGACGAAGCCAGUCACAUGGUAAAGGUGCAAAUGCUGUGGUCAGCCAGGUUCACCACUACCUCAACACAUAUGGUCUUGGCGAACAGCAUGCACACUUUCAGUGUGACUACUGUUGCGGCCAAAAUAAAAACAACAUAGUCAUCUGGUACCUUCUGUGGAGAGUUCUUGUAGGUUUACACAAAAUCAUCACACUAAGCUUUAUGUUGAUAAGACAUACAAAGUUUACACCAGAUUGGCACUUUGGCAUCUGGAAAUCAAAGUGGAGCGGAGCAUCCCGGUGUUGUGGAAUGCAGAGAAUUUAGUGACUCACCAGUAGUCAGAAUCACGCUCAGGAAGGUCUCGAAAGUGAAUGUUAAUGUGAGCUGUGACAACCUGCCAUUAGAAAUGUUUGCGAAAGGGCUUGAUCUGGACCAUCAGUGGUAUUUAUUUGAAAACAUUUUUUAAUUCUGUCGCAUAGAUGAACCAAAAACUUGACAUGUCCGAAACGCGCUACUGGUGAGCAACAAAAACAGACUAUGCCCCCCAAAAAAGAAAAUGCAUUAAGAUGCGCAUCUGAUCUUCUCUGAUGGUGCCACAUCAAUUACAUACAUCAUGUAUCAGUGUUUAUUUUGGCCAAGGUAUUGGAUGAUAUAUUUUCCCCCAAACAAUGCAAAAAAUCCUCUAUUCCUAGGAAAGCUAAAACAAGUAUACGAUUGCUAAAUGUGUCAGUUGAUACAGGUUUUGAAAUGUUCAAUGCAAACGUUUGUUGUUCUAAUUGCACAAGCUUGUUUUCAAGUUUUUUAUAUCUCAUAUUUACAAAACAAAAAUCAUUUUUUCCAUGUAACCAUGCAAUUGUUUUCACCUUAUGGACACAGACUGCCUUUCGGAAAAACUGGGAAAAAAUCGGUGUGAAUAUUGUAUUUAUUUAUGUUUUACAAUUAAAAUCCUAUAUGUUUGUUUGUUUGCUACAUUGUUUCCAUAGUAACAAAAACAAACAAUUUUUAUGUUUGAGUUAUUGUUUAUUUUGUCUAUUUUUCUCUAUCAGAAAUUAUGAUAAAUAAUGAUUAUUUCAUUUACUGAAACAUUUAGUAUCCAAGUGUACUUUCAACCAACACUUUUCAAUGCUGUGUUUUUCCAUUCUGUUGUGUUUGAGGUUACAUUACACUUAAAUACACAUGUAACUGAAUAAAAAAUGGAAAUUGUUCAUGGAACACACAAAUUAUUUAUUGUUAUUGUUUAACUAGUUACAAAACAGUGAAAUUAAUGUUGUGUUUGCCUUUAAACAAACACUUGAUUAAAAAUACAAUUCAUAGAUUUAUAAAAGGCGUGAUUGUGUGCUCUGGUGAUUAUUAACAUGUAGAUCGGUUACCAUAGCAACACAAAUGGUACAUUUUAAAUGUCCAUAAUGCUGUUGUCAGUUUAUUGCACUAUAAUUAUGUAUUUGACUAAAGGAAAGAUUAUUGUUUUAAUAAAACAAUGUGCUUGUUGUU